RNAcentral lists this ribosomal RNA (467 nucleotides) under uncultured bacterium. Its description in RNAcentral is "partial 16S ribosomal RNA". It matches the Rfam family "Bacterial small subunit ribosomal RNA", at positions 28 to 507 of the family's 1533-position model. The record is from RNAcentral.
GACGAACGCUUUCUUCUUUCUUAACACAUGCAAGUCGAACGGAAAGGCCUCUUUCGGGGGGUACUCGAGUGGCGAACGGGUGAGUAACACGUGAGUAACCUGCCCUUGACUUUGGGAUAACUUCAGGAAACUGGGGCUAAUACCGGAUAGGAGCUCCUGCUGCAUGGUGGGGGUUGGAAAGUUUCGGCGGUUGGGGAUGGACUCGCGGCUUAUCAGCUUGUUGGUGGGGUAGUGGCUUACCAAGGCUUUGACUGGUCGCCGGCCUGAGAGGGUGACCGGCCACAUUGGGACUGAGAUACGGCCCAGACUCCUACGGGAGGCAGCAGUGGGGAAGAUUGCACAAUGGGUGGAAGCCUGAUGCAGCAACGCCGUGUGCGGGAUGACGGCCGGCGGGUUGUAAACCGCUUUCGCUCAUGACGAAGCUUUGUGUGACGGUAGUGGGUAAAGAAGCACAGGCUAACUACGGG